UGCUGUGAUGUGAAGUCUGCAGCGUGUCAAUGGCCUUUAUAGUGUUCUCAGCGUGAGCCGCAGACACAGGAAGUGUGAAACCGGCCUGUCAGAUUUGAAUCCGGUGGAUGAUGAAACAAGUGAAAAAUUCAUAGACCUUCAUGAAUGGGGGAUGUGAGACGUGUUUAUGGAAGACGCUAUCAUAGAGAUUUAAAGCUUUGGCACAGCUUAGCAAUGACCUGAAAGUGCUCUCUAUUUAAUUUUAGUGUACUUUAUUGGCAUUAGAAGAACUGUACAUUUGUAUUGCCAAAGCAUUUGCAGCUGGGUUAUGUAAAUAGUGCAAAUAAAAUUUUAAAAAUAAAAUUAUAUAGUGCAGAAUUAAAAAUGAGAUCGUAAGUUAUAGACACAAAAUAAAAAACAAGAACAUUAAAUUAGAACAAGCUCUUUUUCUCUGAUAUUAUUUCUUUCUGUCCUCAUAAACACUUGUUUAUGCUGAGAAAAUGUUCAUUUCAUUUUGAUUCAGGAUUAUGAAGGCAGCGUGUUUCUUUAGAUUAACAUGCACUGAUGUUUAAUAAUAUCAGAGACGUUUGUUAGGUUGUAAAUGCAGUUUAGAGUCGGUGUUGUGUUUAAGCCGAAAGCGUUUAGUUUCUUCAUCUGUGUUUUUGUGCAAACACCGGACAGGCUUGCAGCUUUAAAUCCAUGUUAAAAUUUGAUCUGCUGUAUUUCUGAGGUGUUUUCUUACAGUAUGAAAGCUCAUGUAAAAUGAAUGAACGGCCUGUGGGUGUUCAGAAGUGAACAGGAUCUUUACACGGCACCAGCGAUGGAUGAAGGUCUUCAGAGACACAUCUCAGGAGGGAAUAAAGAUUUUUCCUCCUCUCUCCUGAUAUUGGAUCCGUCAGAUGAGAGGUUAUUCAUUUCAGAGCUGAAGGAGAUGUUAUGAUGACCCCAGCUGAUGACAGUAAAAUCUCCUCUCAGAUUCAGUCAUAUUGACUCUGUGUCAGUAGGAGCUAUCGAUGAACUGAGCAUCUUGUCGUCAUGGAGACCUUCAUUUUCAUAGUGAUGCUGAAUACACUGUAAGUGUGUGUAUCUGCAAUUGUACACUACCACAUAACAAACAAAAGACACUAAUUUUAUUUGUUUUAAAGGUAUAGCGGAGGAUUUUCUUGAAUUUAAGAAAAGAACCGCCUUUUCCACUUUUUAAAAAAAUGCAAUUGCACAACACUCCUGAUUGACAACUAGGAUGACCAAUAGUCUUGAUGAUCCACCCGGAAAAAGAAAAUCCUCCGCAAUACCUUUAAGCAUUGUUAAACUUAUAUGUUUUAUUUUAUAACAGACUUUCUGGCAGUGCAGGACCUGAUUAAUUGCUAAGAUUAUAUUUACCUUAUGUUACAUUUAUGCAUUUAUACACUUUUAUCCAAAGUGACUUGCAAAGACGACUCGGGCCAGAUCUGUACUGGAUUCGCGCCGGAGUCGGCAGCUCUGGUGCGGAUCCGGCCCGGAGUCGUCUGCUGGGAUACACUGUAAAUAUACUCAGUAUUUGUUUUUCAUGGGUUUUUUGCACUGCUAAUAAUGCACUACCAAUUGAGCGAUCUGUAAUAUCUCAAAUAACUGUACACAGUUACGAACACUAAUACAUCCAUAUUUAUUCUGUGAAAAUACAAAAUAAGAUCAUGUACAUUUUAUUUACAGCCUUUUGUACAAUAUAAUAUAUUGCAUUUAUAUCUGCAUUACUAUUUAUAUAGUGACAUGGAAGUACUUACAGUAACGCACAUCAUUCAUCAUUUUAUAACACC
This is a non-coding RNA of Misgurnus anguillicaudatus (oriental weatherfish), 1772 nucleotides long. The record is from RefSeq and is a predicted model, not a curated record. NCBI's taxonomy places the organism in Eukaryota, Metazoa, Chordata, Actinopteri, Cypriniformes, Cobitidae.